GAUGAACGCUGGCGGCGUGCCUAAUACAUGCAAGUCGAGCGAACGGACGAGAAGCUUGCUUCUCUGAUGUUAGCGGCGGACGGGUGAGUAACACGUGGAUAACCUACCUAUAAGACUGGGAUAACUUCGGGAAACCGGAGCUAAUACCGGAUGAUAUUUUGAACCGCAUGGUUCAAAAGUGAAAGAUGGUCUUGCUGUCACUUAUAGAUGGAUCCGCGCUGCAUUAGCUAGUUGGUAAGGUAACGGCUUACCAAGGCAACGAUGCAUAGCCGACCUGAGAGGGUGAUCGGCCACACUGGAACUGAGACACGGUCCAGACUCCUACGGGAGGCGGCAGUAGGGAAUCUUCCGCAAUGGGCGAAAGCCUGACGGAGCAACGCCGCGUGAGUGAUGAAGGUCUUCGGAUCGUAAAACUCUGUUAUUAGGGAAGAACAUAUGUGUAAGUAACUGUGCACAUCUUGACGGUACCUAAUCAGAAAGCCACGGCUAACUACGUG
RNAcentral lists this ribosomal RNA (497 nucleotides) under uncultured bacterium. RNAcentral's name for it is "partial 16S ribosomal RNA". It matches the Rfam family "Bacterial small subunit ribosomal RNA", at positions 28 to 507 of the family's 1533-position model. The record is from RNAcentral.